Molecule: long non-coding RNA, 241 nt
Organism: Perognathus longimembris pacificus (Pacific pocket mouse)
Lineage: Eukaryota; Metazoa; Chordata; Mammalia; Rodentia; Heteromyidae
Exons: 4
Source: RefSeq, a predicted model, not a curated record
UCUGAUUAAUUUUGAAAGGGCAAGUUUAAAUUGACUCCAUUUAAGAUGAGACUUCAUCUCCUCUUACUCCUCUCCAUGGUUCCUCGUCAAGAUUGACUUUGUCCUGAAGGUCCAGGUGUUCAUUGCUUAGAUAGCUUGUCCCAGUUGGCAUUCAUGGGUUUGGAUGCCAGGCCUGGGCACUGUCCCUGAGCACUUCUGCUCGAGGCUAGUACUCUACCACUUGAGCUCCACUUCCAGCAUU